This 278-nucleotide ribosomal RNA is filed under the name uncultured bacterium. RNAcentral describes it as "partial 16S ribosomal RNA". It matches the Rfam family "Bacterial small subunit ribosomal RNA", at positions 78 to 353 of the family's 1533-position model. The record is from RNAcentral.
UCUAAGUUUGAUGGCGACCGGCGCACGGGUGAGUAACACGUAUCCAACCUGCCGAUGACUCGGGGAUAGCCUUUCGAAAGAAAGAUUAAUACCCGAUGGCAUAGUUCUUCCGCAUGGUGGAACUAUUAAAGAAUUUCGGUCAUCGAUGGGGAGUGCGUUCCAUUAGGUUGUUGGCGGGGUAACGGGCCCACCAAGCCUUCGAUGGAUAGGGGUUCUGAGAGGAAGGUCCCCCACAUUGGAACUGAGACACGGUCCAAACUCCUACGGGAGGCAGCAUG